Molecule: transfer RNA, 63 nt
Filed under: Tapeinus singularis
Lineage: Eukaryota; Metazoa; Arthropoda; Insecta; Hemiptera; Reduviidae
Description: tRNA-Glu
Source: RNAcentral
AUUUAUGUAGUUUAACUAAAACCCUCCAUUUUCAAUGGAAAAAUGGGCAAACCCCCUUAAAUA